GGAUCUGUGGCUCAGUGGUAGAGUACUUGUCUAGCACAAAUGAGGCUCUGGGUUUUAUUCCCAGUACCA
RNAcentral lists this transfer RNA (69 nucleotides) under Marmota marmota marmota (Alpine marmot). It matches the Rfam family "tRNA". Rfam says of the family: Transfer RNA (tRNA) molecules are approximately 80 nucleotides in length. Their secondary structure includes four short double-helical elements and three loops (D, anti-codon, and T loops). Further hydrogen bonds mediate the characteristic L-shaped molecular structure. tRNAs have two regions of fundamental functional importance: the anti-codon, which is responsible for specific mRNA codon recognition, and the 3' end, to which the tRNAs corresponding amino acid is attached (by aminoacyl-tRNA synthetases). tRNAs cope with the degeneracy of the genetic code in two manners: having more than one tRNA (with a specific anti-codon) for a particular amino acid; and 'wobble' base-pairing, i.e. permitting non-standard base-pairing at the 3rd anti-codon position. RNAcentral also lists the same sequence under 1 other name. The record is from Rfam by way of RNAcentral. Lineage: Eukaryota; Metazoa; Chordata; Mammalia; Rodentia; Sciuridae.